Molecule: ribosomal RNA, 463 nt
Filed under: uncultured bacterium
Lineage: Bacteria
Description: bacterial SSU rRNA
Rfam family: Bacterial small subunit ribosomal RNA
Source: RNAcentral
AACGAACGCUGGCGGCAGGCCUAAGACAUGCAAGUCGUACGAGAACGGUCCUUCGGGGCUUAGUAGAGUGGCGAACGGGUUAGUAACGCGUGGGAACAUACACAGCACGGGGGGAUAACCAUUGGAAACGAUGGCUAAUACCGCAUACGCCCUAUGGGGGAAAGAUUUAUCGGUGUUGGAUUGGCCCGCGUUAGAUUAGCUAGUUGGUGGGGUAAUGGCUCACCAAGGCGACGAUUUAUAGCUGGUUUGAGAGGAUGAUCAGCAACACUGGAACUGAGACACGGUCCAGACUCCUACGGGAGGCAGCAGUCGGGAAUAUUGUGCAAUGGGGGCAACCCUGACACAGCCAUGCCGCGUGAGUGAAGAAGGCCUUAGGGUUGUAAAUCUCUUUCAGAUGUGAGGAUGAUGACGAUAGCAUCACAAGAAGCUCCGGCUAACUUCGUGCCAGCCGCCGCCGUAACAC